GGAUGGAUGAAUUUCAUCGCUUGGAGGAACAGCUCAAAAUUGCUGAGUAAAGAAAUCUAAUGGGACUAUCCAGCCAGGAUCAUGGACAGGCUCUUUACCAACAGUCUCAUGUCCAAGUUCAACAUGAAGGGCUACCGCGCCAAGACAGCCUUCAAAACCAGUGCAUUGUACUCCAUUUUGAGUGCUGCAGUUAAGAAGUGGGACAGCAAGCCACGGACCAUUAGAGAGGGCAAUCUAUUGCUGACCAUUUAAAGCUGAAACAAUUGUACUAAAUGACGUCUUUUCACCUUUCACUUUCAACCAAAACCAAAUGUAUCUUAGAUGACUGGAAAAGCCGUUUUUUUUGUUUUUUUUUACAUCUUUUCAACUACAUUUUGCUGGGUGGGAGGCCGUUAUUAGGAUAGCAAAGGGCCAGCAGACCUGGGGUCAGCAGACCACCAGCCUCUUAGAGGAAUGUGCACGAAUGCAUGAAAUAAUAAAUUAAUAAAAGAAUAAAAGUAGCUUGAUGAAUGUACAUGUAGUAA
Siniperca chuatsi (mandarin fish) is the source of this 524-nucleotide long non-coding RNA. RefSeq lists it as uncharacterized. NCBI's taxonomy places the organism in Eukaryota, Metazoa, Chordata, Actinopteri, Centrarchiformes, Sinipercidae. The transcript is spliced from 4 exons. The record is from RefSeq and is a predicted model, not a curated record.